UACGUAGGGAGCAAGCGUUGUCCGGAAUCAUUGGGCGUAAAGCGCGCGUAGGUGGCUUCGUAAGUCCGUUGUGAAAGUCAAAGGCUCAACCUUGGAAAGCCGAUGGAUACUGUGAAGCUAGAGUACGGAAGAGGCGAGUGGAAUUCCUGGUGUAGCGGUGGAAUGCGCAGAUAUCAGGAGGAACACCAAUAGCGAAGGCAGCUCGCUGGGACGUUACUGACGCUAAGGCGCGAAAGCGUGGGGAGCGAACAGG
RNAcentral lists this ribosomal RNA (253 nucleotides) under uncultured bacterium. RNAcentral describes it as "partial 16S ribosomal RNA". It matches the Rfam family "Bacterial small subunit ribosomal RNA", at positions 524 to 776 of the family's 1533-position model. The record is from RNAcentral.